GUCCCUAUCGUCUAGAGGCCUAGGACAUCGCCCUUUCACGGCGGUAACACGAGUUCGAAUCUCGUUGGGGAC
RNAcentral lists this transfer RNA (72 nucleotides) under Gallionellales bacterium CG17_big_fil_post_rev_8_21_14_2_50_54_146. RNAcentral describes it as "tRNA-Glu". It matches the Rfam family "tRNA". Rfam says of the family: Transfer RNA (tRNA) molecules are approximately 80 nucleotides in length. Their secondary structure includes four short double-helical elements and three loops (D, anti-codon, and T loops). Lineage: Bacteria; Pseudomonadati; Pseudomonadota; Betaproteobacteria; Nitrosomonadales. The record is from RNAcentral.